RNAcentral lists this ribosomal RNA (247 nucleotides) under uncultured bacterium. RNAcentral's name for it is "partial 16S ribosomal RNA". It matches the Rfam family "Bacterial small subunit ribosomal RNA", at positions 121 to 354 of the family's 1533-position model. The record is from RNAcentral.
AGAACCUGCCGUAUACUGGGGGAUAACACUUAGAAAUAGGUGCUAAUACCGCAUAAGCGCACAGCUUCGCAUGAAGCAGUGUGGAAAACAAAAAGCUAAAGCUUUUGGUGGUAUACGAUGGAUCCGCGUCUGAUUAGCUUGUUGGCGGGGUAAAGGCCCACCAAGGCGACGAUCAGUAGCCGGCCUGAGAGGGCGGACGGCCACAUUGGGACUGAGACACGGCCCAGACUCCUACGGGAGGCAGCAG